AGAGCUGAUCCAAUAAAGGCAUCUUAAUUGGAGCAGAAGGUCUCCUAGCCAUAUUUCUUACAAAUUGGGGGCUCGUCCGGGAGAGCCACGCCCACCGAAGAAGAUUCGACGGGACGGCCGCCUGCUUCGGAUCUUCGAGGGAUCGUCGGCUACACGGACGACGCGGGACCCACACGGCGCCGAAGACCAGCGCCGAGGACCGGCGCCGAAGACCAGCGCCGAGGAUCAGCGAGGGACCAGCACCGCGGAGGAGCGCCGAGGAGUGUUCCUCCGCCCCUUUCACCCCUGCUGUGUACUGCCUCCGCUGCUCCCCACGUGCCAGUCACGCGAGCACCGCCCUCGACACCGCCCCUGCUGCUCCACCGGGCUCCGCCUCUGUCUGGUUGCUGGAAACUCCGCCUCCGAUGUAAAAGACUCCAAGGCUCCCAGGAUGCACUUCCAAACCCGGAAGUCCAGUUAGGGCAGAUAGCCCUUUAGAGCCACUGACCAAGGCCAAACUGGAGCCUGCAAGAGACACUGUUGGACUAAGCAACUGUCCAGCUAGCAGCCGGAGCCUCGGAGCCUCGAACUUCCUCGCCCUCACCGCAACAGCACUCUAGGGAGGUGACACCCCUAGACACGACGAGCCACGUCAGGCGUUCCGGAGAACUCCCGUGAGGACGGAAGCCCCGGCUCUGCAGCAUCAGCAGCAGGACCGACCAUCUCCUCCUCUUCGGCGGUGCUCUCCGUGGGAGCAGCGGCGGUGUGCGCAGCCCCUCGAGCCCCCACCCCUCAAAAGAGCUGAUCCAAUAAAGGCAUUUUAAUUGGAGCAGAAGGUCUCCUAGCCAUAUUUCUUA
Molecule: long non-coding RNA, 836 nt
Organism: Prinia subflava (tawny-flanked prinia)
Lineage: Eukaryota; Metazoa; Chordata; Aves; Passeriformes; Cisticolidae
Exons: 2
Source: RefSeq, a predicted model, not a curated record